Molecule: small RNA, 1327 nt
Filed under: Pongo abelii (Sumatran orangutan)
Lineage: Eukaryota; Metazoa; Chordata; Mammalia; Primates; Hominidae
Description: processed transcript
Source: RNAcentral
AAAUAAAAAUCAGGAAGAGCCUGAGAGGGAGGCUCAGGCGACACUGGUGCUGACACCGCAGAAGUGCUGGUGUGGACCUGUGGGUGGCUUGGUUCGUGGAGAGGCAGCCACGGCGUCUUCCCAGGAUCGUGGCCGGCACCUGGCACCUGUACUUUGGCCGUCAGAGAUGUGCUGGCACCGUGCUACGGACGAGGGCGGUCACUCUGGCGACCCCAGCUCUCUGCCGAGGCAGCCGGGCACUGGCUUAUGACACUCAUGGACCAGGGCGGGACCCAGGAGGAAAUUAAAUGAAAUAAUACGAAAUGACCUCUCCAGCACGAGCACCCACUCCUAGUUGCCACAUUGGAGCACUCAGUUCAGCGGGGGUAUGCUGACUUCAGCAGACAAAGACUUCUGAAUAAAUAAACUGAACGCACACCUGGUACCACUCAGGACCUCCAACUGACUGAAUGCCAGGAGCUGAACAUUAAUAUGUGCAAAGAUUGGCUCUCCAACAAGAAGGAAAGCAGGGAGGAAGGGAGAUCAGUGUGUCUCCUGGAGAAGUCAUCUCAUGACAACAGAAGGGAGGUGGCUGGGCUGAGCACGGGAGACCCACCGUGCAGGGGCCUUUCAUGGGAACGGCCCACACGCAGUUUGACCCCACGCCCAGCCCUUCUGGCACCCCUGGGGUUCAAUACUGGAAGUGCCUUAUUUAACUAGACUAUCAGGGUAUCAUAGAAUUGAGCAUUGAAUUUGCUACUGUAGGAGUAUUGGUAGGAGCAGAAACUGCAAACACAUUUCAUUGUGAGGUUUUACCCUUUGUAUGAAUGAAGAGAACACUGGCAGGCUGUGAGAGGACCCUAAUAUGAGUCUCCUACGUUUGGAACCUGGGCUGUCACGUACAAGCCUGCUGCCUUACGCAGUGCGUUUUAGAAUCUUCCAGUCUGUCAUCUCAGCUCUUUUGUAACACGCUUCCCUUGUCUGCGCGGUUGAAACCGUAGGCUUGUUCAUGGUCGCAUGCUCGCAUCUUUGUUUUUAAUCUGGCUUCGAACAUGGCACAACUAAGUUGAAUAGCACAUCAAUAGGUUACUGGACAAAAGCAGAAAAACCUGUUACAGGGUAGACUGCAUUUGCAUGUGUGUACAUAUCUGGGCAUCUAUUUAUGUAUAAAUAAUAACAGAGCCGACGUGUCCUCGCCCGGGAGGGCUUCCCUGUCAGCAAUAACCGGCAUCCGUUUUGGAACCUGCGUCUGGGGCUCCAGGCGCUGCUCUUGCUGGCGUCCAUCGCCGCAUCGGACGGCCGUGCGUUUUCUCAUCUCGCGCAGUUCGAGGAGGACCCUAGAAAGCCA